Molecule: ribosomal RNA, 253 nt
Filed under: uncultured bacterium
Lineage: Bacteria
Description: partial 16S ribosomal RNA
Rfam family: Bacterial small subunit ribosomal RNA
Source: RNAcentral
UACGUAGGGUGCAAGCGUUGUCCGGAAUUAUUGGGCGUAAGGAGCUCGUAGGCGGUUUGUCGCGUCGAAUGUGAAAACCCGGGGCUCAACCCCGGGCCUGCAUUCGAUACGGGCAGACUAGAGUUCGGUAGGGGAGUCUGGAAUUCCUGGUGUAGCGGUGAAAUGCGCAGAUAUCAGGAGGAACACCGGUGGCGAAGGCGGGACUCUGGGCCGAUACUGACGCUGAGGAGCGAAAGCCAGGGGAGCGAACGGG